GACGAACGCUGGCGGCGUGCUUAACACAUGCAAGUCGAACGGUGAAGCGCCUUCCUUUUUGGUGGGUGUGGAUGAGUGGCGAACGGGUGAGUAACACGUGAGUAACCUGCCCCCUUCUUCUGGAUAACCGCAUGAAAGUGUGGCUAAUACGGGAUAUUCUGGGUCUGUCGCAUGAUGGGUCUGGGAAAGAUAUUGUUUCGGUGGGGGGUGGGCUCGCGGCCUAUCAGCUUGUUGGUGGGGUGAUGGCCUACCAAGGCGGUGACGGGUAGCCGGCCUGAGAGGGUGGACGGUCACACUGGGACUGAGACACGGCCCAGACUCCUACGGGAGGCAGCAGUGGGGAAUAUUGCACAAUGGGCGCAAGCCUGAUGCAGCGACGCCGCGUGAGGGAUGGAGGCCUUCGGGUUGUGAACCUCUUUCGCCAGUGAAGCAGGCCUGCCUCGUUUGUGGGUGGGUUGACGGUAGCUGAAGAAGAAGCGCCGGCUAACUACGUG
This 494-nucleotide ribosomal RNA is filed under the name uncultured bacterium. Its description in RNAcentral is "partial 16S ribosomal RNA". It matches the Rfam family "Bacterial small subunit ribosomal RNA", at positions 28 to 507 of the family's 1533-position model. The record is from RNAcentral.